Molecule: long non-coding RNA, 221 nt
Filed under: Homo sapiens (human)
Lineage: Eukaryota; Metazoa; Chordata; Mammalia; Primates; Hominidae
Description: non-protein coding lnc-DCUN1D1-6:3
Source: RNAcentral
AAGGGGUCAGAGUGAUAUCACCGUUUUCUCAAAUGUGAGAAUGAACACUGGCAAGAUAAAGUGACUUAUUCAAACGUACCCAGAGAGCUGAUGAGAAAGUCAAGCCUAGGAAGCAUACACACUAAAUAAUGUCACUGGAGACAAGACGUAGCCCCAUUUUCCAUCUUGUAGUCCCAGUCUCAACCUCUGGUUUAUUCUCCUGAGAAUCAAUAAUGAUACAG